CGAAGAAGUAUUUCGGUAUGUAAAGCUCUAUCAGCAGGGAAGAAAGACUCGUAAGAGAGAUGACGGUACCUGACUAAGAAGCCCCGGCUAACUACGUGCCAGCAGCCGCGGUAAUACGUAGGGGGCAAGCGUUAUCCGGAUUUACUGGGUGUAAAGGGAGCGCAGACGGUCAAGCAAGUCUGAAGUGAAACCCCACGGCUCAACCGUGGGCUUGCUUUGGAAACUGUUUGACUAGAGUACUGGAGAGGUAAGCGGAAUUCCUAGUGUAGCGGUGAAAUGCGUAGAUAUUAGGAGGAACAUCGGUGGCGAAGGCGGCUUACUGGACAGCAACUGACGUUGAGGCUCGAAGGCGUGGGGAGCAAACAGGAUUAGAUACCCUGGUAGUCCACGCGGUAAACGAUGAAUACUAGGUGUUGG
RNAcentral lists this ribosomal RNA (417 nucleotides) under uncultured Lachnospiraceae bacterium. RNAcentral describes it as "bacterial SSU rRNA". It matches the Rfam family "Bacterial small subunit ribosomal RNA", at positions 406 to 826 of the family's 1533-position model. The record is from RNAcentral. Lineage: Bacteria; Bacillati; Bacillota; Clostridia; Lachnospirales; Lachnospiraceae.